GGCACUUUUUCUUUAAAUUAAAUCUUUGGGAUUUUCUUCAGGCAAUAGACGAGAGAUGUCAUGACACUUUACACCUUAUGUAAGUUAGGAGGAACAUAAUUGAGUGUAAAUUGUAAAGUCACAUUAGAGUAGUUAAUUAAAGCCCCACCCCCCGUUCCUGCGGCCAUCUGACGCGCAUGCGCACUCACACGCCCUAUCCCCCUGCUAACCGGAGACACCUGUGCGCUCUGAGGAAACUUCAGCGUCUGAGGUAAAGAACGUUCAUCUUUUACCUGCUGAUAUAUUUUUAACUUUCACUACACGUUAUUAAUGCGAUUAUAUUAUAUAAUCCGUGUAGAUCUGUUUUAGUGUCACCCUGUGAUCCGGGUAAUUUUACCUCAGAAAUUAUAGUAGCAGUAUCACACAGCCACCGGCUAACCUGAGACCCCGUUGUGAGGAAACUUGGGCGUUCUGAGCCACCUGCCAACCUGAGAAACCGUGGUGUUCUGAGGAAACUUCAGUAUCUGAGAACCAGCACCUAGGUCCCAACCAGUCUGGCUUAAAGCAGCACAUUCCACAGAGAAUGCCCUUCUGGCCGUCGCUAAGAAACUACAUGCUGCUCGAUCAGCCGAGCUGUCAUCUGUGCUCGUCCUCCUCAACCUUAUAGUGGCAUUCGACACAGUCAACCACAAGACUUUCCUACCUGGAAGGUCACUCAUACCAGGUUACAUGGAGUGGGUCCACAUCUGCUAUACGCAGACUCCACUGGUGUCCCAUAAGGCCCAGUGCUUGGUCCUCUCCCAUUCCUCCUCUAUAUUCACUCUUUUGGAGUCAUAUCCUUACAUGGGUUUUCUUACCACUGUUUUGCUGAUGACACUCAACUUAUCUUCUCCUUCCCUCCCUCAGAUAUCGACGCUUCCGAUCGGAUCUCGGCAUGCCCGGCAGACACAUCUUUGUGGAUGAGUGCUCAUCGACUAAAACGCAACCCCAGCAAAACCGAACUGCUGGUCAUUCUAGGUGAUUCAUUUCCAGCUCAGGAUCUCGGAAUAAUUCAUCAUAACGUUCUGCGUUUCCCUUUCAGCCAACAUUCGACGACCUUGGAGUAACUAUGGACUUUUCCUCAUAUGUUGCUAAUGUGACUCGUUCUUGUCGGUUCCUUCUCUACAUCAUCAGAAGGAUUUGACCAUUUCUGUCCCCACAGGCUGCUCAGGUGCUUGUUCAGUCUCGAUAUUUUAAGACUGGACUGCUUGACUGGUACCACCUCCUCUCAGGGGGGAAAAAGGUAAAUAUAUAUUUCAAGGCUCUUCUUUGUUCUGGCACCGAGGUGGUGGAAUGAACUUCCCCUAGAUGUCCGAUCAGUGGAGUCCCUGGUUAUCUUCAAGCGACGGGUAAAGACCUACCACUUCCUGAAACACUAAAUCUAACACCACCCGGUUUGCUUUGUCUUUUACAAAAAAAGACAAAGCAAACCGGGUGGUGUUAGAUUUAGUGUUAGAUUUUUUUGUCUUGGUAGUGUGGGUGUUGGUAUUACGGGUGUCUGUUUUUGUUGGUUGGUAGGUGUUGCUAGUGUUUUGUUGGUAGUAAUUGGUAAUGUGGGUGUUAAUUAAACGAAUAGAAGAACAAUGAAUUUCUUGUUAAUUUUAAGAAACCUUUCUUAUUGUAGUAUGUAUUAUUGCUCUUUAAUAAAGAAAGUACUUAUGAUUGUUUGAUUAAUCAAUGGAAUAAUCGUUAGAAUACUCGAUCAUGAAAAUAAUCGAUAGCACCAGCCCUAGUUGGUAGUAUUUGUGUUGGUAGUGUAGCUGUAUGCAGUGUUUUUGUUUUAGUAGGGGUGUAUGUAGUAUUUGUUUUAUUUUUCUUGUGUGGGAGUUGGUAGUAUUUGUGUUGGUAUUAUGGGUGUUGCUAGUGUGGUUGUAGUAUGUUAGUUGUAAAUGUUGGUAGUACUUUUGUUGGUAUUGAGUAUUGGUAGAAUUGGUUAGUAUUGUGGGUGUUGGUUGUAUUUGUUGGUAGUGUGUUGGUAUUGAGGGCAUUGGUGUAGGUGUUUGUAGUAUUCUAUUUGGUAGAUUUUGGGUCGGAAGUGUAGCUGUUAGUAGUUCUUGUGUUGCUAGUUUUUCUUUUGGUAGUAUUUGUGUUGGUAUUGUUUGUGUCUGUAGCAUUUUGUUUUUCUAUUGUCGGUGUUGUAGUAUUUGUUAGUUGUGUAGGUGUUGGUUGUAUUUGUGUUAGCAUUGUGUGUUUUGGUAGUGUAGAUGUUAUUUCUGUUUGUAGUGUGGUUGUAUGUUGUGUAGGUGUUGUAGAUAGUAUUUGUGUUGGUAGUUUUUGAUCUGAGUAGUUAUUUAUUCUGGUGGAUUUUUUGUUGGUAGUGUAAGUGUUAGUAGUAUUUGAUUUGUAAUGUAGCUGUUUGUAGUGUAGGUGUUUGGUAGUUUUGAUUUGGAAGUGUAGAUUAUUUCUGCUGUUGGCAGUUUUGUGUUAGUAGUAUUUGAUUCGCUAAUAUAGCUGUGGUUGCAUUUGUUGCUAGUGUGGUUUUAGUAUUUGUUUUGGUGGUGUGGGUGUAGUUAGUUAUUGUUGGUAUUUGUGCUGCUACUGUGGGUGUUUAAUAUUUGUGUUGGUAGAAUUUUGUCCUGUACUGAAUGUGUUGGAAAUAUUUGUCUUGGUAGUAUUUAGUUAGAAAAUGUAGGGGUUGGUAGUGUUGGUGGAGUGAGUGUUGGUAAUGUGUGUUUUGUUAGUGGGGUUAGUAGUGUGGGUAUUGAUGGUGUUUUAGUGUAGGGGUUAGAUAUUUAGUGUUGGUAGAAUUUUAGGGCUGCAUCUAUUGAUUUUAGUAAUCGAGUAUUUUACUGCUUAUUCCAUCGAGUAAUCAGAAAAGAAUAUUACAGCAAAAUAUAAAAUAAAUCCUAUAAAUAUAAAUACA
Molecule: long non-coding RNA, 2881 nt
Organism: Silurus meridionalis
Lineage: Eukaryota; Metazoa; Chordata; Actinopteri; Siluriformes; Siluridae
Exons: 4
Source: RefSeq, a predicted model, not a curated record